RNAcentral lists this ribosomal RNA (433 nucleotides) under uncultured bacterium. Its description in RNAcentral is "bacterial SSU rRNA". It matches the Rfam family "Bacterial small subunit ribosomal RNA", at positions 33 to 507 of the family's 1533-position model. The record is from RNAcentral.
AGAACGACGCUGGCGGCAAGGCUUAACACAUGCAAGUCGAGCGCGUAGCAAUACGAGCGGCAGACGGGUGAGUAACGCGUGGGAAUCUACCCAACCCUACGGAAUAACGCAUGGAAACGUGUGCUAAUACCGUAUACGCCCUUUGGGGGAAAGAUUUAUCGGGGAUGGAUGAGCCCGCGUUGGAUUAGCUAGUUGGUGGGGUAAAGGCCUACCAAGGCGACGAUCCAUAGCUGGUCUGAGAGGAUGAUCAGCCACAUUGGGACUGAGACACGGCCCAGACUCCUACGGGAGGCAGCAGUGGGGAAUAUUGGACAAUGGGCGAAAGCCUGAUCCAGCAAUGCCGCGUGAGUGAUGAAGGCCUUCGGGUUGUAAAGCUCUUUUACUCGGGACGAUAAUGACGGUACCGAGAGAAUAAGCCCCGGCUAACUCCGUG